Molecule: ribosomal RNA, 253 nt
Filed under: uncultured bacterium
Lineage: Bacteria
Description: partial 16S ribosomal RNA
Rfam family: Bacterial small subunit ribosomal RNA
Source: RNAcentral
UACGUAGGGGGCAAGCGUUGUCCGGAAUCAUUGGGCGUAAAGCGCGUGUAGGCGGCUGGGUAAGUCCGCUCUGAAAGCCCGGGGCUCAACCCCGGGAGGCGGGUGGAUACUGCUCAGCUCGAGUCCGGAAGAGGAGUGUGGAAUUCCUGGUGUAGCGGUGAAAUGCGCAGAUAUCAGGAAGAACACCCGUGGCGAAAGCGGCUCUCUGGAACGGUACUGACGCUGAGACGCGAAAGCGUGGGGAGCGAACAGG